Molecule: ribosomal RNA, 440 nt
Filed under: uncultured bacterium
Lineage: Bacteria
Description: bacterial SSU rRNA
Rfam family: Bacterial small subunit ribosomal RNA
Source: RNAcentral
AACGCGAAGAACCUUACCUACCCUUGACAUCUUCGGAAGCUUGCAGAGAUGCGAGUGUGCCUUUGGGAACCGAGAGACAGGUGCUGCAUGGCUGUCGUCAGCUCGUGUCGUGAGAUGUUGGGUUAAGUCCCGUAACGAGCGCAACCCCUAUUUUUAGUUGCCAGCAUUUAAGGUGGGAACUCUAAGGAGACUGCCGGUGAUAAGCCGGAGGAAGGUGGGGACGAAGUCAAGUCAUCAUGGCCCUGAUGGGUAGGGCUACACACGUGCUACAAUGGGCGGUACAGAGGGAAGCGAAGCCGUGAGGUGGAGCGAAUCUCAGAAAGCCGUUCGUAGUCCGGAUUGGAGUCUGCAACUCGACUCCAUGAAGUUGGAAUCGCUAGUAAUCGCAGAUCAGAACGCUGCGGUGAAUACGUUCCCGGGCCUUGUACACACCGUGUCGA